This 232-nucleotide unclassified non-coding RNA is filed under the name Glomeraceae sp. RNAcentral describes it as "partial contains 5.8S ribosomal RNA and internal transcribed spacer 2". The stretch from base 1 to 71 matches the Rfam family "5.8S ribosomal RNA", at positions 84 to 154 of the family's 154-position model. Lineage: Eukaryota; Fungi; Glomeromycota; Glomeromycetes; Glomerales; Glomeraceae. The record is from RNAcentral.
GUGAAUCAUCGAAUUUUUGAACGCAAAUUGCACUCUCUGGUAUUCCGGAGAGUAUGCCUGUUUGAGGAUCAAUUUAAAUAAAAAUCGGUGUGUUGGCUGCCUUUCAUGAUUACGCACCGGAUUUGGUUCGUCUUGCCUUCGUUUAGUGGACCUAUAAUUUUGCAUGAUUUGUUUCGAACUUAUUUAGAUGAUUUUACGUACGGUUUCGAUAUCUAUUACUAGUUGUGGUCAU